GAUCCUGGCUCAGGAUGAACGCUAGCUACAGGCUUAACACAUGCAAGUCGAGGGGCAGCAUGAUUGAAGCUUGCUUCAAUUGAUGGCGACCGGCGCACGGGUGAGUAACACGUAUCCAACCUUCCGUACACUCAGGGAUAGCCUUUCGAAAGAAAGAUUAAUACCCUGAUGGUAUACUUAAGCACACAGUAGUAAUUAAGAAUUAAAGUAUUUAGUCGGUGUACGAGUGGGAUGCGUU
RNAcentral lists this ribosomal RNA (238 nucleotides) under uncultured bacterium. Its description in RNAcentral is "partial 16S ribosomal RNA". It matches the Rfam family "Bacterial small subunit ribosomal RNA", at positions 15 to 237 of the family's 1533-position model. The record is from RNAcentral.